This 1536-nucleotide ribosomal RNA is filed under the name Lancisporomyces falcatus. Its description in RNAcentral is "eukaryotic LSU rRNA". It matches the Rfam family "Eukaryotic large subunit ribosomal RNA", at positions 114 to 1437 of the family's 3401-position model. Lineage: Eukaryota; Fungi; Kickxellomycota; Harpellomycetes; Harpellales; Legeriomycetaceae. The record is from RNAcentral.
CUUAAAAUCUCCAAGUGGUAAAACAUUUGGCGAGUUGUAGCUUAUGGAGGUGGGUUGAUCUGUGGUUAUGAGAUAGUAAAAGUGCUUUUGAAUAAGCCAUCAGAGAGGGUGAAAAUCCCGUAUUUGACUAUGUUCAUGAUUAUAAUGAGAACCAUUUUCUUUGAGUCGGGUUGUUUGGGAAUGCAGCCCUAAUUAGGAGGUAAAUUUCUUCUAAAGCUAAAUAUAAGCAAGAGACCGAUAGCAAACAAGUACCGUGAGGGAAAGAUGAAAAGCACUUUGAAAAGAGAGUGAAAAGUACGUGAAAUUGUUGAAAGGGAACCGGUUAGUAGCCAAGCAUCACUUUUAGAGCGGGUUAAACCGUUUUGAUAGUGGGGUCAACAUCGGUUGUUGGGGUCUGAAAGGAAAUUAGAUAGGUCAGCGGAGUAAGGUAGGGUUAUUAGUUGUUGUAUGGGAUUUUAUUCUGUAUGACGUUUUAUAGCUAAUGAUCUGUUAUAGACUUCAUGGAUUUAUUAUUAUACGCCUAGAGAUUUCGACGACCGAGGAACGCAGUGUAAUCAUGUAAAAGUGGUUGAGGAAGAUUUGUUUCGGGUAUUUGUUUAGUUAUUAUUCUUUAGACAGCUUGCUGACUAUUGAGUUGAUUGAAUAUAUUCAGGAGAUAAAUAUUGACUAAAAAGCACUAGGGAUGUUGGCGAAAAGGCACUAAUCGACCCGUCUUGAAACACGGACCAAGGAGUCCAACAUGCAUGCGAGUAUGUGGGAGUAAUAAACCCAUAUGCGUAAUGAAAGUGAACAUAGAAUGCGAUCUUAUUUCAUUUAGGUGGGAUUUGAGCAGCAUCGACCGACUUCAGAUAGCGUUGCUUGACGAGGUUGAGUAAGAGCAUGUAUGCUGGGACCCGAAAGAUGGUGAACUAUGCCUGAAUAGGGUGAAGUCAGAGGAAACUCUGAUGGAAGCUCGUAGAGAUUCUGACGUGCAAAUCGAUCUCCAAAUUUGGGUAUAGGGGCGAAAGACUAAUCGAACCAUCUAGUAGCUGGUUCCUGCCGAAGUUUCCCUCAGGAUAGCAGAGACUGAAUAAAGCAGUUUUAUGAGGUAAAGCGAAUGAUUAGAGGCCUUGGGGAUGUAACAUCCUUAACCUAUUCUCAAACUUUAAAUGCGUAAGAAGCGGCAGUUUCUUAAUUGAACUGGAUUGCUAAAUUUAUUACGAAUGCAUCAGUCUCUAGUGGGCCAUUUUUGGUAAGCAGAACUGGCGAUGCGGGAUGAACCGAACGUAAAGUUAAGGUGCCCAAAUGCACGCUCAUAUAGACACCAUAAAAGGUGUUAGUUCAUCUAGACAGCAGGGCGGUGGCCAUGGAAGUCGGAAUCCGCUAAGGAGUGUGUAACAACUCACCUGCCGAAUGAACUAGCCCUGAAAAUGGAUGGCGCUUAAGCGUGCUACCGAUACUUUACCGCCAAAAUUAAAUUGUAAAGAUUUUGGUGAGUAGGCAGGCGUGGAGGUUUUGAGUAGCGAAGCUGUGGGAGUGAUCUCCAGUGGAACAACC